UGCCUGAAGCCAUGGUGCUUGCGUAUC
This 27-nucleotide non-coding RNA is filed under the name Homo sapiens (human). Lineage: Eukaryota; Metazoa; Chordata; Mammalia; Primates; Hominidae. The record is from RNAcentral.